Arabis alpina (gray rockcress) is the source of this 119-nucleotide non-coding RNA. Lineage: Eukaryota; Viridiplantae; Streptophyta; Magnoliopsida; Brassicales; Brassicaceae. The record is from Rfam.
AAGCUGUGCAGUGAGAACAAUGCGAACUAUUCUUUCGCCUUUUACUAAAGAAUACCGUGUUCUAUGCUCUUAAGAAUAAUGCACAAUCUUGAGUUUGAAAUUAUUUAGUUACCAUUAUU